This is a small nuclear RNA of Onychomys torridus (southern grasshopper mouse), 161 nucleotides long. RefSeq annotates it as U1 spliceosomal RNA. The transcript has a single exon. Lineage: Eukaryota; Metazoa; Chordata; Mammalia; Rodentia; Cricetidae. The record is from RefSeq and is a predicted model, not a curated record.
UAAUUUACCUGGGAGGGAAUAUACCAUGAUCAAGAAAAUGAUCCUGCCAGGACAAGGCUCCACUAUUUAGGUGUGCCCGUGUCUGCGUUUCCCCCCACCUGUGAGAAACUCAGCCUGCGUACUUUGUGAUAAUAGCGGACUGCUUUCAGUGCAUUCCCCUA